CUGAAUUCCCACCCCAAUCGCCCAAGGUUGAGAAAGGUGAGGUUCAGGGAAGUGGAGUGACCGAGCCCUGGGGUGAGCCCACGCACGCGUCAACUCUCUGGCCUCAAACCCGGGGCCGGGCCAGCUGGGGCUCAGAGGACCGCUGGCUCCAGUCUGGACGCAGCCUCUCAGGACACGCAGGGGACGCGCUAACUGCCCGGGCCUCAGUUUCCUCCCCUGGAAAGUGGGGAGAAUCGUAUCUGAGCGCUCCUGCAUUUUGCAUACUCUUAGGAACCCCCGCUCUGUCGUGGGCGGACCCAACCGUGCCCGGGGCUGAGGGCAAGCAAGGGCAGAAGGCGGCAGACGCCGGAGCCCAGCGCCGGUCUGAACCCCAACUCCACCCCUGCCGGCUGUGUGACCCUGGGCGAGGCACCUGCCCUCUCUGUGCUUUGGGUUUCCUCUUCCGUGAACGAGAGAACGCCUGGGGAUGAGGCACGCGACUCUCUGUUGGCUGCCUACAACGGAGCCUGUUACCGGAUGUCCGGGCCACAGGAGCAGGGGCUCCCUGCUUUGCUCCCUGUGCCCUGCGUCCCAGAACAGCAGUCAGAGAACGGGCAGAUGCAGGGUGGAGGUGGCCAGCCCGAGCGGGGCUGUGAUGGAGGGAAGCAUGGGGAAGGGCUCAGGAGGGCUCCCUGGAGGAGGUGAGGCUGGGUUGAGUCUGCCUGGCUGUGCAAUUCAGAAACGGGGUGUUGCAACGACCAGCAUUAGCGUGGGCUCCGCAAGGACAUCCUACCUCCCUGCUAAUUGCAUGAAGCUUUAAAGAGGCGAUCGCAGAGGGCAGAGGCCCAGGUGGUGCACUGUUGUGCCCCGGGAACCAGCAGGUGCCCAGUCCACGAAGGCCUUCGUGCAACCAGCAGUAACCGGAUGCUUGUCGUAUGCACAGGGGGCUCAGAGACCCCGAGGAGAACCACGGAGCCGUGGCCCAGGCCACAUCCACAGACAGCACGUCCGUGGGACGGAAGCAGAUGCAUGGCACGGAUGGGUGAGAGGCAGGGAGCGGGGGUUGGGUAGGAACGGCCCCCACAGGAGGAGCUGCAGGGAGCACAUCGAGGGAACAGUGUUGGAGGUAGAGGGAACAGCCUACGCAAAGGCUCCGAGCGGGAGGCCCCGCUGCCCCUCUGUCCUCAGGGGGGCCUGAUGGGACUGUGGGUGGACAGUGCUUGGCCCUUCACACAGCGACUUCAGCAGGGAGGGCCAGAGCUCCUUUAAGCCGAAAUUGGCCAGCACAGCUGUUCGCGUUGUUCGCUCUCCGACAGCAGCCUGGCCAGCACGCCACUGAAGCCCCACUUGGUUGUUUUGGGUUUGAUUUGUGUUUUUCUUUUUAAGGAAAAAC
Molecule: long non-coding RNA, 1372 nt
Filed under: Felis catus (domestic cat)
Lineage: Eukaryota; Metazoa; Chordata; Mammalia; Carnivora; Felidae
Description: lncRNA (ENSFCAG00000051678.1)
Source: RNAcentral